GAUGAACGCUGGCGGUAUGCUUAACACAUGCAAGUCGAACGGACUCUUCGGAGUUAGUGGCGGACGGGUGCGUAACGCGUGAGAAUCUGGCUUUGGGUUCGGGACAACCACUGGAAACGGUGGCUAAUACCGGAUGUGCCGAGAGGUAAAAGAGAAAUUGCCUGAAGAUGAGCUCGCGUCUGAUUAGCUAGUUGGUGAGGUAAAGGCUCACCAAGGCAGCGAUCAGUAGCUGGUCUGAGAGGAUGACCAGCCACACUGGGACUGAGACACGGCCCAGACUACUACGGGAGGCAGCAGUGGGGAAUUUUCCGCAAUGGGCGAAAGCCUGACGGAGCAAUACCGCGUGAGGGAAGAAGGCUCUUGGGUUGUAAACCUCUUUGCUUAGGGAAGAACAAAAUGACGGUACCUAAGGAAUCAGCAUCGGCUAACUACGUG
Molecule: ribosomal RNA, 435 nt
Filed under: uncultured bacterium
Lineage: Bacteria
Description: partial 16S ribosomal RNA
Rfam family: Bacterial small subunit ribosomal RNA
Source: RNAcentral